RNAcentral lists this long non-coding RNA (1089 nucleotides) under Oryzias javanicus (javanese ricefish). Its description in RNAcentral is "lncRNA (ENSOJAG00000015980.1)". Lineage: Eukaryota; Metazoa; Chordata; Actinopteri; Beloniformes; Adrianichthyidae. The record is from RNAcentral.
GCUUCAGUGUUUUCAGCUAUCCGCUUCAGUGUUUUCAGCUAUCCGCUUCAGUGUUUUCAGCUAUCUGUUUCAGUGUUUUCAGCUAUCUGCUUCAGUGUUUUCAGCUAUCCGCUUCAGUGUUUUCAGCUAUCCGCUUCAGUGUUUUCAGCUAUCUGUUUCAGUGUUUUCAGCUAUCCGCUUCAGUGUUUUCAGCUAUCUGUUUCAGUGUUUUCAGCUAUCUGCUUCAGUGUUUUCAGCUACCCGCUUCAGUGUUUUCCGCUAUCAGCUUAAAUGUUUUCAGCUAUCAGCUUUUAGUGUUUUCAGCUAUCAGCUUCAGUGUUUUCAGCUAUCCGCUUCAGUGUUUUCAGCUAUCUGCUUCAGUGUUUUCAGCUACCAGCUUCAGUGUUUUCAGCUACUCGCUUCAGUGUUUUCAGUUAUCAGUUUAAAUGUUUUCAGCUAUCCGUUUCAGUGUUUUCAGCUUCAGUGUUUUCAGCUUCAGUGUUUUCAGCUAUCCGUUACAGUGUUUUCAGCUAUCUGUUUCAGUGUUUUCAGCUAUCUGCUUCAGUGUUUUCAGCUACCCGCUUCAGUGUUUUCCGCUAUCAGCUUAAAUGUUUUCAGCUAUCAGCUUUUAGUGUUUUCAGCUAUCAGCUUCAGUGUUUUCAGCUAUCCGCUUCAGUGUUUUCAGCUAUCAGCUUCAGUGUUUUCAGCUACUCGCUUCAGUGUUUUCAGUUAUCAGUUUAAAUGUUUUCAGCUAUCCGUUUCAGUGUUUUCAGCUAUCCGUUUCAGUGUUUUCAGCUUCAGUGUUUUCAGCUUCAGUGUUUUUAGCUAUCUGUUACAGAGUUUUCAGCUUCAGCGUUUUCAGCUACCAGCUUCAGUGUUUUCAGCUACCAGCUUCAGUGUUUUCAGCUACUCGCUUCAGUGUUUUCAGUUAUCAGUUUAAAUGUUUUCAGCUAUCCGUUUCAGUGUUUUCAGCUUCAGCGUUUUCAGCUAUCACCAGCUGCGUUUACAGGUGCAAAAUGUCCUGGCUCAGAUCAAAGAUCAGAUUAUGGUCCCUGAAAAACUUCAUCUGAUUGUAACGAACGUUUUCAUGCAUGGUUGAUCAGAAUAAAU